AUUGAUUUUAACACACAGACCAUUUUUAACAUUGAGAAAGGGAUCAUCAAGAAACAGUUCCCAUUUUCACAAGUUAAAUCCUAUGAAGACAGUGAAGGGAGGCGCUUCAGCAUCGCAUUUCAUGGGCGUGCAGAUUAUGAGCUGGAAGCAAUGUCUCUUGAAGAUAAAAGAAAAGUAGGUUAAUCUGCUGUAAUAACUUAUUUAUUAUCAUCAAUUUAAUAUUAGGAUGUGCUAUGUGUUGUGCAAAUGGAGAGGUUGAUAUAUCCUUAAUAUAUUUUUUUAACAGACUUUCACCUGAUUUACACCUUAGUGAUUGCACUAGGUUUACAUGGGACAUAGGAAUAUAAGUGUAGGGCAGAAUUCAGCAUCAAAUGGUUUUAUUUUCAGACAGACCUGUAAGGUGGCCCAUUGGAAAGGGGAACCCUUUAGCUCUGAAGAGAGAGUCCCUCAUGGUGAGAACUAAUUAGUAGGUACAAUUUUCUGUCCAGGUUCAUUUGACACUAGGCAUGGGUUCAACUGAAACGGGUCACAAAGCUGUCAAUGAAGCCGCUCCGAGUCUAGAGUUUGGGAUGAGACCUCAAACCAGACAAAUGUUACCUGUGUUUUAACUGAGUGCUUGGAGAUUUGCAGAAACUCUAAUUGUACAUUAAGUAAGGAAACAAUAUGAGAACAAUAACAGAGAGAUCUGUGUUUAACAAUAAGCCUUUUUAGGAGGAGGCUCACACAUCUACGUGUUUAGGCAUACCAGCAAAUUUGCAUUGAGCAACAUCACUUACUUAGUUUAUGUAAGAUGAGAUUAAUCUCCCUCUUUAGAUGUCCAUUUUAUUCAUGGAUACGUUUUAAAAAAACAACCCAUUAACAUAGGCUGCAAGGGUGCUGGUAUGUAAAACAUACACUAGCUACUGUCACUUAUUAUACAGAUAUCACACCUGGUGAACAAAGUUACCCAGAGUAAUUCAUACAGGAGACCUGCAGAGUCCUGCUCUGGAAGACCUGCCAAAUGUGAUGUGAUACAUGAAGGACUACUGGAUUUGCAGCAAGACAGUUUUGUAUCUAUUAAAUGGGUGAAAUAUUUGGUGCAGCUAAGUGAAGGAGAACUGAGUUUAUCUUGCAUCGACAACAAUGGAGAGAACAAGAAUGCAGACCCUGUAGCAAAGACAAUUAAUUUGUCAAAUGGAAAUGUGAGUGUCAUUAAAGAGAAUGGAUAUGAUACUUUCUCCGUCCAGACCAAGGAACACAAUUACUUGUUUCGAAUACCCUUUACUGUCCAGAAUAACAGGGCAGAGGACAUUAGCAAGCUCCAGAAUGAAUGGGUAUCGCUUAUAGACAGGUAUUGCCUGCUGUGGAAGAAUCGCUCAGAACCUCAGGAAGGCUUUGGAGAAGGCACCUCAGAGGCUGUAUAUGAAAAACUCAUCAUCGCUCCAAAUAAGCAGGCAGAAGGAGCCCAUUGCCUUGCUGUGGGUUACGAAGCACCACCCCGAUCAACCCCCCUCACAGAGGAGGCAACCCCAGCAUCAUCAUUUCCGCUUUCCAGAGUUCAGGCAGUGGUGCCACCACCACCUGCUUUCCCUCCGCCCGCCCGCCUCUCGCCAGCAUGGAAAAGAACAAAAGCUUUUCACUGGGAUGUUGUUCCUCAAGAGAAGGUCAGGAUAAAAGUAACUGCUCUUCAUCAUGAUCAAGUAGCUGGAGUGGGGAGGGGAAACAUUUUUUAAAAAAAUGACAGGACGUGCAACUAUGUUGCAUGUACUACUGCAGUAAUUAUCCAUGCAAGUGGAGUAAUUGUUCCAUGAAAGAACCUGGUCACCUAACUGCAUGUGCAAUUACCCAGUUUGCAAGUGGGAUUGCAGUAAAUAUUCAUUCACAUAGGUUGUGAAGUUGGACAUGCACAUUUUGCACAGGCAGUUGUACACUUGGUUGAAAAUCUAUAUGUUAAUGUAUUUAACAGUUACCAAGGAAUGAACCUGACAGUGUUCUCAUGCCAGUUUUUGUUCUUAAAUGUUGAGAAUAGGCAAAAUCCCCAGCACAUUAGCUGAAGAUGUUGUCACAGUUCAGGGCAACUG
Molecule: long non-coding RNA, 2060 nt
Organism: Chrysemys picta bellii (western painted turtle)
Lineage: Eukaryota; Metazoa; Chordata; Testudines; Emydidae
Source: Ensembl